This 440-nucleotide ribosomal RNA is filed under the name uncultured bacterium. RNAcentral's name for it is "partial 16S ribosomal RNA". It matches the Rfam family "Bacterial small subunit ribosomal RNA", at positions 338 to 795 of the family's 1533-position model. The record is from RNAcentral.
CCUACGGGAGGCAGCAGUGGGGAAUAUUGCACAAUGGGGGAAACCCUUAUGCAGCGACGCCGCGUGAGUGAAGAAGUAAUUCGUUACGUAAAGCUCUCUCAGCAGGGAAGAAAAUGACGGUACCUGAGUAAGAAGCCCCGGCGAACUACGUGCCCGCAGCCGCGGUAAUACGUAGGGGGCAAGCGUUAUCCGGAUUUACGGGGUGUAAAGGUAGCGUAGACGGUGCGCCAAGUCUGGAGUGAAAUGCCACAGCGUAACUGCGGAACUGCUUUGGACACUGGCUAACUAGAGUGCGGGAGGGGGUAGCGGAAUUCCUAGUGUAGCGGGGAAAUGCGUAGAUAUUAGGAGGAACACCGGUGGCGAAGGCGGCUUACUGGACCGUAACUGACGUUGAGGCUCGAAAGCGUGGGGAGCAAACAGGAUUAGAUACCCUUGUAGUC